AUUUCUCUUUUAUGUUUUCGCAACCUACUAAACAAGUCUUGGAGAGAAUUAAAUCUCAAAUUUAGAAAUUAACUCAAUUGAAAUCUUUAUUAUUUUAAAAUUCUACCAUCCAUUUAAUAUGAAUAAUAUCUCACUUUAAUUUUGCCCCUCUCUCAACACCAUUUCAGUGUAAUGUAAAUAAGAUGAUAACAUAAAUAACAAAAUAUAACUUCAUAUAUAAAGAGUGCUAUUUUUAGAAGGAUAAUAAAUUAAUAAUGGUGUAUUUAUUUUUUUGGGUUAGACAUAUAAAAAAAAAACCUUCUAUUAAUUGGACAAUACAGUUUGUACACUUACCUUAUGUUUUUCAUUUCUUUAGCCAUGAUUAAUAAGUAAUGAAUUAUUUCUAAUUUUAAUUCCUUCUACACUAAUAUAAUUUCUUGUUUAAUUGAUCAUGAAAGGUUUCUUUGAUCUCAAGAACUUGGAAUACUUGGAUUUGAGUUCCAGUACUCUUGAUAAUAGCAUCUUCCAAGUCAUCGGAACGAUGACCUCUCUUAAAACUUUAAUGUUGCAGAGUUGUAAUUUCAAUGGCCAAUUACGUACAACCCAAG
RNAcentral lists this long non-coding RNA (587 nucleotides) under Populus tremula. RNAcentral describes it as "long non-coding RNA (PTRE_LNC001460)". The record is from RNAcentral. Lineage: Eukaryota; Viridiplantae; Streptophyta; Magnoliopsida; Malpighiales; Salicaceae.